UUCUACAGCCAUGCCACCCUGAACAAGCUCGAUGUCUGAUCUCAGAAGCUAAGCAGGACCGGGCUUGGUUAGUAGUUGGAUGGGAGACCGCCUAGGAAGACAAAGUACUGUAGGCA
Molecule: ribosomal RNA, 116 nt
Filed under: Pteropus alecto (black flying fox)
Lineage: Eukaryota; Metazoa; Chordata; Mammalia; Chiroptera; Pteropodidae
Source: RNAcentral